ACUGACAGCCAUGGUUACCGCGGCUGCUGGCACGGAGUUAGCCGGUGCUUCUUCUGUGAGUGAUGUCCUUCCUGCCGGCUAUUAACCCGCAGGCCUUCUUCCUCACUGAAAGUGCUUUACAACCCGAAGGCCUUCUUCACACACGCGGCAUGGCUGGAUCAGGGUUGCCCCCAUUGUCCAAUAUUCCCCACUGCUGCCUCCCGUAGGAGUCUGGGCCGUGUCUCAGUCCCAGUGUGGCUGAUCAUCCUCUCAGACCAGCUACGGAUCGUCGCCUUGGUGAGCCGUUACCUCACCAACCAGCUAAUCCGACAUAGGCUCAUCCGAUAGCGCGAGGCCCGAAGGUCCCCCGCUUUCCCCCGUAGGGCGUAUGCGGUAUUAGCCUGGGUUUCCCCAGGUUAUCCCCCACUACCGGGCAGAUUCCUAUGCAUUACUCACCCGUCCGCCGCUCGCCACCAGGGAGCAAGCUCCCCGGUGCUGCCGCUCGACUUGCAUGUGUUAGGCCUGCCGCCAGCGUUCAAU
This 519-nucleotide ribosomal RNA is filed under the name uncultured bacterium. RNAcentral's name for it is "partial 16S ribosomal RNA". The record is from RNAcentral.